GUAAACCCAAGGUUUCCAGGGGAAGGUUCGUCCGCCCUGGGUUAGUCGGGACCUAAGCUGAGGCCGAAAGGCGUAGGGGAUGGACAACAGGUUGAUAUUCCUGUACUACCGAUAACCGUUUGAGAGAAGGGAUGACACAGUAGGAUAAGCUAAGCACACUGUUGGUUAUGUGUGCCCAAGCAUUGAGGCAGUCAAAGUAGGCAAAUCCGCUUUGAUAAUGCUGGGAUGUGAUGGGGAGCGAAAUUUAGUAGCGAAGUAGCUGAUUUCACACUGUCAAGAAAAGUCUCUAUCGAGGUUAAAGGUACCCGUACCGCAAACCGACACAGGUGGGUGAGGAGAGUAUCCUAAGGCCAGCGAGAGAACUGUUGUUAAGGAACUCGGCAAAAUGACCCCGUAACUUAGGGAUAAGGGGUGCCACCAUCAGGUGGCCGCAGAGAAUAGGCCCAAGCGACUGUUUACCAAAAACAUAGGUUUCUGCUAAGUCGCAAGACGAUGUAUAGG
Molecule: ribosomal RNA, 501 nt
Filed under: Clostridioides difficile
Lineage: Bacteria; Bacillati; Bacillota; Clostridia; Peptostreptococcales; Peptostreptococcaceae
Description: bacterial LSU rRNA
Rfam family: Bacterial large subunit ribosomal RNA
Source: RNAcentral